CAGUCGCCACGGGAAUACGUAGGUGGCAAGCGUUGUCCGGAAUUAUUGGGCGUAAAGGGCUCGCAGGCGGUUUCUUAAGUCUGAUGUGAAAGCCCCCGGCUCAACCGGGGAGGGUCAUUGGAAACUGGGAAACUUGAGUGCAGAAGAGGAGAGUGGAAUUUCACGUGUAGCGGUGAAAUGCGUAGAGAUGUGGAGGAACACCAGUGGCGAAGGCGGCUCUCUGGUCUGUAACUGACGCUGAGGAGCGAAAGCGUGGGGAGCGAACAGGAUUAGAGACCCGAGUAGUCCCUGUCUCUUAUAA
Molecule: ribosomal RNA, 301 nt
Filed under: uncultured bacterium
Lineage: Bacteria
Description: partial 16S ribosomal RNA
Rfam family: Bacterial small subunit ribosomal RNA
Source: RNAcentral